Molecule: long non-coding RNA, 1083 nt
Organism: Papaver somniferum (opium poppy)
Lineage: Eukaryota; Viridiplantae; Streptophyta; Magnoliopsida; Ranunculales; Papaveraceae
Exons: 3
Source: RefSeq, a predicted model, not a curated record
AUUUAAACAUCGAGAAAAAACCUAACUCCAAACGCUCCACCACCAUCUCUAUCGCUACCACCACCAUUUCCUUCGCCACUAGAACCAACACCACAACACCAGUGCCACAACCACCACCUCCGCCACCAGCACCACCGACGCUGAGUACAGUUUUAAAAGGAAAGUCGAUAAUUUCAUUUUCAAUUCCAGAUCUGGAAAAUAUCUGUAGUUCUCUUCUCUCCUCAGCCAACACUAUCACCACCGUUUUAGUAUGAAAAUCGAUUUUGAAGAUCGACAAUAACAAUAUACAUGAAGAUUGUAUCCAAAGUGCUACGCAAAAGCUGAUAGAAGAUUGUAGAGUUGGAGCAAUCUAUGAGCAGGCAGAAUUACAAGCAUUUUAAUUGCAGCAAGACAUGGGCUUUUUUUUUUGUACUUAUUUACUGUACACUGUCAAGUUAGUAGCUUAGUAAGAGUUGCACUUAGGAGCAACAAUAUCUAGAUUUUGACUCUGCACAAUUCAUAAUUAGAUCUUAGCAUUCUCAAUGAAAUAAGUGUGUGCUGGGUGACUCACGUUAACCUUGCAAUAGUGGUUGUUGUUGUGUUUCAAGCAGUGGUGGUGGAUGUUGGGAUGGUUGCUGCUGUUUUUGGUGGUGGUUGUUGAUGUUGCAGUGGAGGUGAUUGUAGUAGUUGCAGUACUGGUGUUGGUAAUGGAUGUUGUGCAGGUAUGUAACAGAUGAUCAUUUUCCUUUUUUUGGUUGGAUUUGUUGAUGGUGUUCCAGUUCUUGAUCCUCCAAGAUAUAAAGUAUCUCUCAAGAUGAAUCUGUGGUGCAAAGGUAGCACAACUGACUCCACGUCAGAAAAUACGUGUUCGAUUCAUGUCAGGUUCAUUAAUUUUAAUGUAUCAAUUUUUGGGAUCAACUUGGUUGUUGACAUCAGAUUUUGGGAUCAACUUUGGUUGUCGACGCCAUAUUACUAUUAUUUAUUUAUUUUUAUUAUUUUUGUUUUGAGGAUCAACUUCAGUUGUUGACACCAGAAUUUAGGAUAAACUUUGGUUGUUAACGCAUAUUUUUUUUCCUUAUUUUCUAUUUUUGUUAUUGAGAUCAA